ACUCUUAAGGCUAGGCGCGCACAUGCAACUUUUAGUUUCGAAACUGUUUGGUUUCUAAUCUGAGCACUAUAGACUUAUACGAGAGUCCGCGCACAUGCAGAAAACAACGUGACUGCGCGCACAUGCAACUAAAUAGUUUCUUUGGUAUGCAUGUAUUAGUGCAUUUCAGUCGAAUGAUUCUUUAAAGUGUGACGAGGCUAGUAGGAUACUUCCAUACGCGCAGAAUAAUAUAUCCUUCUCGUACGUUUGUUUUCAUAAUUUAAUUUGCUACUUUUUAAACGUCAAAUGUAUUUAUGCACUGAAAGGAGAUUAUUAUGUACUUCAAUCAAGUGCGCCAUCGUUUAAAAAAUGGAAUAAAGCACAAUUAUUUCAAAUGAAGUUUCGCGUCUCACAAAUGUGAAUGUCAAGAGUAAAACAACGCUGUAGCCAUCGAAUGCUAUCAACCAGACUGCAAAUGGAAAUGUAUACAAUAAAGAGUAACAUAAACAACACUGAAACGGAAAAGCACCCACAGGAGCAUCAGUAUCAGAAAGAGGAGGAAUCUAUGAUGAUCCUGAUCGGAGCAAAUCUUCAUUCGAAAAGGUUCCUCUACACACAGCCUUCCUAGUAUAUCUUGGCUUUUACCUUGGGCUUUUAUAUUGGGCUACAUAAAUCAAUUAAUGUGUGCCCCAAAAGUAGCUAAAGAAAAUAAUCGAGAGGCUAUGUUACGCUAUACGAUGCCUUCGAUGGCUUCUAUUUAGGGUAUGUCUAUCGGAAAUGGAAUUUCCCAAUUUGCAGAUCACAUUACCAAGGAUUACGGUUGGACAUUUGAGUUCAAUUGUGAAGUAUGUUGGAGUGUUCGAUUGUCCGAAGAUAUUGCAUUGAAAAAGAAAUUCAAACCUUAUUUGUAUUUGUAUGAGACGCAUAGUGUGGUAGCGAUGGGACCAAAUGGUCGCGGUAUUGUCGACUAUUAUGGCGCCGAUCAGAAAUAUGUUGAUAUUCUAAUGGGAAAAUUUAAAAAGAGCUUUGGCAGUGCUGGUUGUUUUAUUGCUGGAACAAAGUUACCCCAAGGGUUUCCUGCCACUCCAAUUGUGGAAGGACGUACAUAUACGCUUAAGAGCUGUUUGAUUAUGCCUUACAAGUGAUUGAUGAAAUAAGUGAUUCAGUAAUGAGUUGGCCUAAAGUAUUCAUGUAAAGUAAGAAAUUCUAAUCCGAUUAUUUAUUAAG
Molecule: long non-coding RNA, 1206 nt
Organism: Eupeodes corollae
Lineage: Eukaryota; Metazoa; Arthropoda; Insecta; Diptera; Syrphidae
Exons: 4
Source: RefSeq, a predicted model, not a curated record